AUAGCGGAGUAUUAGGAGUCAUCUCACAAAAUCCACCCACCACCUUUCUGUGUUCGAUUUACUCUCUCUCUUGAUGGAACCUGAAAUUCUUUAGUAAAAUUGAAACAUUCAGUUUUACCUGUCUCUUUGGGAGAAGAAGAGAAGGGAGAAAAAUUACAACCUUUCCCUUCUCCUCUCUUCUCUCUCUCCCCCCUAACAAAAAACUAUGCAAUUCCAGGCCAGCUUCUUCAUUAGCAACUUAUUCCCUUUCCCAUUGCGGCCGGGACUUAAACGUCCUCGGCCAUCACCCACCGCUUCAUCCUAUGAGACUCCUCUCUUCUGCCUCUGCUCCCUCUGUUAAUUCCGAUGGCUUGGCGCCCUCGCCCUCGCCUUCCACGUCUUCAUCCUUGUCCCGUUUGAUUGCUUCUCCGCAUGGUCCAUUUGAAUUAAUAUUCACAGAUCCAACUUCUAAACCCACUGUCAUCCUCCCUACUAUUCCUGCUGUUGACGGCAUUUCUGAUUUGGCUGACAUCUCGUUAGUUCUCGGUAUUCUUUUUCUCUCCCUUUUCUCUUUCGCUCUUAUUUUCCACCUCCGUAUUAGAUCCCGUCAAUUGCCUCAUUUACAGAAUUUCAAUUCUCUCUGGGUUGUCAGAUUGCUUCUCGUCUUUUUUGCUUGUCUUGGUGCUGUUAACGAAGUCAUUCGCCUGCCCUUCAUUCGCCAAAAAUAUCUUUACCCUCUUUUACCAUCUCUCUCCCUGGAUGAACAAGCUGAGAUUUGUAAGGUUCACGUGGUUCUCUCUUUGGGAUUCUUCGAACCAGGUUUCCUAAUUACUCUUCUUUUCUUGGUCAACGAGUCGAUCAAGACGCAAAAUCCUUUUCGAACGUGGGGGGUUGCACUCGUCUGCUUGGCGUGUUCUCCAAUCCUCCUACUGCAAUCGUUCUUCGUGUUCUUUCCACCUUUGGAAGCAAAAUUACCCCCAUACAUUCACGCGAGUUUUUACCUUUCAACUGACCAGGUCGGAAACAAAUCAGUUCUUUGCACCUAUCCAAUGUUCAGUUGCGUUGCGUUUGGGGUAUUCAGCGUUGCUUAUUCGUUAGCAUUUUUGUUGUCAUGUUGGAGGGUGGUUGCGUUUGUGAUCAACAAGAAAAUUCGGGUACGGCUGAACAUGCUUGCCACAUCGUUCAUGAUAUUAUUGCCGUUACAGAUUCUUUGCUUAGGAUUGUCGGCGUUGUGGCCACCGGCACAUCCUACACAUGAAUACAUUGUACUGGCGAUGGACCUUGCCUUUGCAUGGUGCGUGGUGAUUGGGGAGGUCAUUUUGGUAAUAAAGCCAAUUGCAGAUGCAUUAGAUGCCGGUGGAGCAUGUUUCGCCUGGAGUCCCGGAAGCAGGUCAGGGUGUCCUAGAAGUGAGGGGAAGAGGGUGGAUAAUGGGAAUCUAUAGCAAUGAACAGAGGACAUGAAGGGCAUCAUGGUCUGAUCACGUUCCAAUCAUUGUUUUUCAAGAGAGAAAUGAGGGGGCCAAUUUUUGACUAUUUCAGUGUGUAUAUGCUUGGUGGAUUCAUCAAGCAUAGAGGGGAGGGGGUUAUUUAGUAUCAGUUGUAACUCACAGAAUCUUGAUUAAGCAGUUCGUAGCUUCCAGCCAGAAGUCAAUAAGUUCUCUUCAUUUGAGGACUCAAGUCAGUUAUAAUUCUAGUAUUUUAUUAUGAUUCAAUUGUAUUAAUUAGAAAUAUUUGGGGGUCAUGUUCCGGCUACUUGUAGUCAGUAUUAGUAGAGGCUUCAUAGGCAGGCAGGCAAGCAUAGUUGAGGCACUCAGUUUUAGUUUUCUUUUUGUAUAAUCCAGUGAUGUAAAUGAUUUUAAACAGUAUUGUAUUGAACAAGUUCAGCUAAUGACAUUGCUUCCGCUUAGUAUUUCUA
RNA transcript from Capsicum annuum, 1894 nucleotides. RefSeq lists it as uncharacterized. NCBI's taxonomy places the organism in Eukaryota, Viridiplantae, Streptophyta, Magnoliopsida, Solanales, Solanaceae. The transcript has 3 exons. The record is from RefSeq and is a predicted model, not a curated record.